UGUUAAAUCAGCAUUCUUAUUUUUUUCAUCAGCAACUAUUGUGUACGUCAUCUAAGUAAGAUAUCAUCAUCUCCAGUCAUACUGAGAAGCUGAUUGUGAACACCGACACCAGUUCUGAUGUUUACAUUUCCAGUUUACCUGCAGUAUGUCAGAGAAGCAAGAAAAGGACUCUCUGUCUGAGAUGAGUCUCUCAGAGAAACCGAGUGUAAAAAACAGGCUCAGAUGUGUCCAGCUCUGUGUCUGUGAAGAGUGACUGGUCAAGAGAUCAACCACCAAAUUUCAGUGAGGAAGCACCAUCAUCUACCAAAAGUGUAAGAACAGGAUCAGAUGUGCCCAGCUCUGUGUCUGUGAAGAGUGACUGUUCAAAAUAUCUUCCUCCGGUAUUCAGUGAUGAAAAACCAUCAUGUACCAAAAAGG
Carassius auratus (goldfish) is the source of this 417-nucleotide long non-coding RNA. RefSeq lists it as uncharacterized. The transcript has 3 exons. Lineage: Eukaryota; Metazoa; Chordata; Actinopteri; Cypriniformes; Cyprinidae. The record is from RefSeq and is a predicted model, not a curated record.